Long non-coding RNA from Lepus europaeus (European hare), 381 nucleotides. RefSeq lists it as uncharacterized. NCBI's taxonomy places the organism in Eukaryota, Metazoa, Chordata, Mammalia, Lagomorpha, Leporidae. The transcript is spliced from 3 exons. The record is from RefSeq and is a predicted model, not a curated record.
UUCCACACUCCACCGGUUUGUCCAGCAGUAAAGGAGGCUGGUCCUAGGGCCCUCGCGAGGAGUGGUGAUGUGAGCACCAGCACCCCAUGCACGCCUCCUGCAGAACGUGGCAGAUUAGGAACCGCCGGCUUCAGGGCUGAGACCUGGCAGUAUAGAACUUAGAACAAAGGGUGUCAGCACCCAGUCUUCCUCCCCAGAGGAAGGAGCCGGAGUGUGUGCAGGUCCCUGAACAUUCCAGUAACUAGCUUCCUGCUGUUGUGCUUGGGAAAGCAGAGGAAGAUGCCCCGAGUCCUUGGGCCCCUGCCACCCGCACCAGAGACCCAAAUGGAGUUCCUGGCUCCUUGCUUUGACCUGGACCAGCCCUGGCUGUUGCGGGGAGUG